UCAAGACAUUUCAUUUUCCAAUAAAUUUUGCUUUCAGAGCAUCCACUGCUGCCGCUCAGGUGAGCUUCAUUUGAAGCUGAAUGUCCAAUGAUAUAUGAUGCAACAUACUCUCUUGUCACAUAUGUUUGUUGAUGUAUGUAUUUUCAGACAUGUCACUUGUAGGUUUUAAUAAUGGACAAAAGUAACUUGGAGGUAGCAAUUGGCUCGUAUAAACGCUACAAGGUAAUACAUCUCUUAUCUUAGGCUUUCAAGUUACUAUUAAAGUUCCAUGUGGAAGAAAUAAGACCUUAAAUCCGACCAUUGCUUUAUUAAAAUAAUGGUAAAUGUAUUUGCAGAAAGAUGCAUUGGCUUUGAAGGAGCUUUUGGCAUCAAUGCUUAUAGAUUUUACAUCCCAUGGACUAGGAUUUUGCCAGGUAAAAUUUUCUUGAUCAAACUCCCAAUCAAGAGAGAGAGAAAAAUUAUUUAUUAUUAAAAUAUUUGAAAAUAUUUUUAUAUUAUUCAAUAUCUCCCAAUCAAGUUUUUUCUACUGUGUUGCAUAAACUUAAAGGCCUAACUCUUAGAUUACUAGCUAAUCAAAACUUCUUCUUCUUUUUCCACUUCCUUUGAUCUUCGGUCAUUGAGCCUUUGAGCAGCCAUCAUUGCUUAUAAAAUUUCUAGGUUCAGCGUCUUAAAAAAAUUCUCAAAAUUAAUCUAAUAAGUAAUGAUGAUUUUGGGAAAUUUUUAGGUUUGAAUUUAGCUCACACUUGGCCAAUGGAACCUUUUUUAAUUUAAAUAGGAUUGAUAAUUUGGGAAGUUGUAAGCCUAAGGACUUGGUUAAUUGGCUGGGAACAUAUGGCUCCCAUGUUGAUAGAUGUAGUUUUCACACGUCAAUGGGAUAAGAUUGAAGCAAAUUUGGAUCCACCAACAUUGGAUGUUGAGGAGCUGUAAGACCACUUUUUUAUCACGUGACAAGGAUUGUGAAACUAUAUCUAAAUAUUACCUCUUUUGUAGGUUCGGUUGUUACAUUCUUACAGUAUCAAAAUGCACUUUCAAAGGACUUACAGGUUAUUAUCUCAAGCUUAACAUUAUAUCAUUAGUUCAUACAUAGAACUUAAAGAGACUACCGUAAUGGCUCUUUGCAAAUGAAAUAAAAUAGACAUUUUGCAUGUGUCAGCAUUUUUGUCAUGAUUUUAAGGUCAGUAAUUGGUAACUUUUUGUACCGAAUGUUGCUUAUUCUUCUUGAUUUUAUGGUUAUACAUAACCCUAUGAGCAUUUGAUUAACUAAGUACAUACAUAGAAGUUGCUUAUGAAAGUUAGGAAAAUAGUUCUUGGCAUUAUUGGUAAUGGUAUUUGCAUAAAUUUUUCAUAGCUUGUAGAGUAUCGAACAUCUGUGCAAUUCCAAUAUGAUAAAAAUACAUGUCAGACUCAUAUUUUCUUUAAAUGUAUGAGUAGGAUUCUUUCAUUCUGCUAAAAGCAUGGGCAAGGCUCAUGCUUUUUACAAAAAGUAUGUUGAAUCUCAACCUUGCACAAACUAAUGCCUAAGCCAACCUUCAGUUAGCUUUUGCACUUGUGUUUUGGUUUUGGUUGAAGCAAUUUGUCCUUAGAAGUUUGAAGAAGUUUGAGAUUGUAGGAAGUCAUGCUUCUUCUUGUCUUGGCUAUGGAAGUCUUUUCUUAGCCUAGCAAUUGAGGGACAUAAACAGAAGUGGGGAUGAAAUGUUCCUGUUAAUAUUUACUUGGCUAGAACUUUGUCUGAUUAUGCAAGAAUUAUCAGAUCUUAAGCAUCUUGUUUUAAAUGCUCUUACAUGUUUUAUUUACAGCAAAUUAGUUGUCAUUUUUCAUAGUCAAUUAUUCAUGGAAUGAAAAAAAGAGAAAUGAUUAUAUGAAAAUGUACCCACCAAAUUUAUUUUACUUUUGUUGCUGUGAUUUUCAUCCUUCUUUUUCUUAAAUAAACAUUGUCCAUCAGAAUGAAGCAAUCUCAUAUUUUAACUUGCAGGGAAUCAAAUAUUCCUAACCACAUGCCAACAAACUAUUUUGGGAUUCUACUUAAAUACUUUGUGUAAGGAAAUUUGGAACAAAUGUGUAGACAUUAUUCAAACAAUUGUAAUUUUACUUAAUAAUUGUUUUGAUGAUCAAUAUUUGUUGUAAAUUUUGUAAAAUUUGCAUGGUUCAUUCUUUGUAGCUUG
Molecule: long non-coding RNA, 2162 nt
Filed under: Theobroma cacao (cacao)
Lineage: Eukaryota; Viridiplantae; Streptophyta; Magnoliopsida; Malvales; Malvaceae
Description: long non-coding RNA (TCAC_LNC006262)
Source: RNAcentral